This 89-nucleotide transfer RNA is filed under the name Desulfovibrio litoralis DSM 11393. Its description in RNAcentral is "Selenocysteine transfer RNA". It matches the Rfam family "Selenocysteine transfer RNA". The record is from Rfam by way of RNAcentral. Lineage: Bacteria; Pseudomonadati; Thermodesulfobacteriota; Desulfovibrionia; Desulfovibrionales; Desulfovibrionaceae.
GGAAGUGUUUCGUUACCGGUGUAACGCCUGGUCUUCAAAACCAGUGGACGGCUAAUACCCGUUUGUAGGUUCGACUCCUAUGCACUUCC